AUUGAACGCUGGCGGCAUGCCUAACACAUGCAAGUCGAACGGCAGCAUGAUCUAGCUUGCUAGAUUGAUGGCGAGUGGCGGACGGGUGAGUAACGCGUAGGAAUAUACCUUAAAGAGGGGGAUAACUUGGGGAAACUCAAGCUAAUACCGCGUAAGUUCUGAGGAAGAAAGCUGGGGACCUUCGGGCCUGGCGCUUUAAGAAUAGCCUGCGUACGAUUAGCUAGUUGGUGAGGUAAGGGCUCACCAAGGCGACGAUCGUUAGCUGGUCUGAGAGGAUGGCCAGCCAAACUGGGACUGAGACACGGCCCAGACUCCUACGGGAGGCAGCAGUGGGGAAUAUUGGACAAUGGGGGAAACCCUGAUCCAGCAAUGCCGCGUGUGUGAAGAAGGCCUGAGGGUUGUAAAGCACUUUCAGAGGGGAGGAGGGAUGACAGGUUAAGAGCUAGUUAUUUGGACGUUACCCACAGAAGAAGCACCGGCUAACUCCGUGCCAGCAGCCGCCGUAA
RNAcentral lists this ribosomal RNA (506 nucleotides) under uncultured bacterium. RNAcentral's name for it is "partial 16S ribosomal RNA". It matches the Rfam family "Bacterial small subunit ribosomal RNA", at positions 30 to 523 of the family's 1533-position model. The record is from RNAcentral.